CGUCUAAAAUUUACUCUCACAAGAAUAAAAUGGCUUCGGAUUGUAACUUUUGCGUGAAAAAAAAUGAUUCAUCUUUUUUUGCAACAUGAAUCAUUGGAUAGUACAACAAUUGCUUCGAGAACUAUGUAUGCAGAUAAAAUAAUGAUUAAAAUACUUUAAGAUCUGUGCAAGCACAAUCUAAUAGUUGAUGUUACGAAAGAAGAUCAAUCAUUCUAUCAUGUGAA
This 224-nucleotide long non-coding RNA is filed under the name Elaeis guineensis (African oil palm). Its description in RNAcentral is "long non-coding RNA (EGUI_LNC041149)". Lineage: Eukaryota; Viridiplantae; Streptophyta; Magnoliopsida; Arecales; Arecaceae. The record is from RNAcentral.